Molecule: ribosomal RNA, 253 nt
Filed under: uncultured bacterium
Lineage: Bacteria
Description: partial 16S ribosomal RNA
Rfam family: Bacterial small subunit ribosomal RNA
Source: RNAcentral
UACGGAGAGGGCAAGCGUUGUUCGGAUUUACUGGGCUUAAAGGGCGCGUAGGCGGGUUUGUAAGUCAGUUGUGAAAUCCCGGAGCUCAACUCCGGAACUGCUUCUGAUACUGCAAGUCUUGAGAACGAGAGGGGAGAGUGGAACUUCUGGUGGAGCGGUGAAAUGCGUAGAUAUCAGAAGGAACACCGGUGGCGAAAGCGACUCUCUGGCUCGUAUCUGACGCUAAGGCGCGAAAGCUAGGGGAGCAAACGGG